This 367-nucleotide ribosomal RNA is filed under the name Sahlingia subintegra. RNAcentral's name for it is "bacterial LSU rRNA". It matches the Rfam family "Bacterial large subunit ribosomal RNA", at positions 2099 to 2465 of the family's 2925-position model. The record is from RNAcentral. Lineage: Eukaryota; Rhodophyta; Compsopogonophyceae; Erythropeltidales; Erythrotrichiaceae.
CUUUACUGUAGCUUGAGAUUGGGUUCGGGCUUUUCUUGCGCAGCAUAGGUGGGAGGCUUUGAUUGUAUUCUUGUGGGAGUACAGGAGCCAUCAGUGAGAUACCACUCUGGGAAAGCUAGAAUUCUAACUUCUAACCGUUAUCCGGUUGAGGAACAGUUUCAGGUGGGCAGUUUGACUGGGGCGGUCGCCUCCUAAAAGGUAACGGAGGCGUGCAAAGGUUCCCUCAGACUGGUCGGAAAUCAGUUGUAGAGUGUAAAGGCAUAAGGGAGCUUGACUGCGAGACCUACAAGUCGAGCAGAGACGAAAGUCGGCCUUAGUGAUCCGACGGUUCCGAGUGGAAGGGCCGUCGCUCAACGGAUAAAAGUUA